Long non-coding RNA from Colossoma macropomum (tambaqui), 308 nucleotides. RefSeq lists it as uncharacterized. Lineage: Eukaryota; Metazoa; Chordata; Actinopteri; Characiformes; Serrasalmidae. The transcript has 3 exons. The record is from RefSeq and is a predicted model, not a curated record.
GACUACAACUGAUUACUCCCACUGAUCACCAAGAUCAAGCAGUUAAAAAAAUACAGUUUCCAUUCUCACACUAGAGAGAGUGAGAGAGAGAAAGAAAGAGAGGGAAAGUGGCAAAAAUAUCAACAGUCUACAGGAUGGAGUUUUUCUGUGUGAUGCUACUGAUCUUCACUGGCUUUAUGGAGACCACAUCAGAGAACUUUAAGAUAGUUGGUUCAGCUGUUCCCCUUGUUGUUGAAGCUGGUGAAGAUCUGGUUCUGCCCUGUUCUCUCCAACCCAACAUCAGUGCUGAGGAUAUGAUGGUGGAGUGG